GGAGUAUUUGAAAACUAAUUUUCGAUAUUCACCCGCUAGCACGAACUCUUGCAGUCAUCGGCUGAUCACUGGCCACUGUCCCCACCCUCCCCUGCGAACAUUAUGUCCGACGCUGAGUCUCACCUCUCUCUGCAGUCGUUGACGCCUGUCGACCUCAAGCAGCUGUCGAGGCAGCAGAAAAUUAUACUGCUUCAGGACUACCGCUCUAGCGGGGCACGAAAUGCCAACAAGAUGCUUUUCUUAGCCACAGACCUGCUGGCUGGCGGGUCGAGUGGGCUGUCAUCUAGCGAGCUGUACGACGUGUACGAGCAGGUGCUGAUCGCCUCCCUCGAGUGCGGUCGUAUCGAGAACGCUACUAUGUAUCUGAACCUGCUUGAGAGUCGAUUCGGAAAGAAGUCUAUUCGCGUCAGCCACCUGCGCGGCCUGUGCCUGGAGGCGCAAGGCAAGAUCCCGGAGGCGAAGAAGCUGUACGAGCAGGUGCUGAAGGACAUGCCAACGAACGACUUCUGUGUGCAGCGGCUGAGCGCCAUCUACAAGAGCAACGGCCACUACAAGGAGGCCAUUCGUGUCCUCGAGGAGGACCUCGUGUACACGGACGAGGAUGAUAAGCAGCACACCUACGUAGAGGUGCACCGCGGCGACGCCUUGCCGACCUAUCGCGAACUGAGCAACCUCCACUACCUCCUCGGCAACAAUGACAAGGCCAUAUUCUACGCGGAGGAGUGUCUUCUGUUCGACAACGAGUCCUACUUUGCUCACGUGCGCCUCGGCGAGCUGUACUACAUGAAGCGUGAUCUGCCGCGCUGCGUCAUCGAGUACUCGCAGUCGCUCCUCUUCAACUCGCAGCAGAACAACUCGCGGGCGGCCUACGGAUUGUGGCAGGUCACAAACGAAAUGCUGCGUCAGCAUCAGUCCGGCAUCAAGAAGAUCGAGGACGAGGCGGUGCUGACGCAGACGCAGGACCUGCGCACGUACGCGGCCGAGACGCUGCGCCGCAUGUACGCCGGUACUGCCAUGCUGUCGGCCUUGGAUGCCUACCUGCAGCGAGAGGCCUAGAGCUGCCCCUUUAUACGUGUACGUGGCCCUUCCCUCUCUCUCUCCUUUCCCUCUACUUCGUUGUUUUAGCGGGUUUGUUUUUUUGGCGGGCUGCUUGUUGUGAUCGGCGGAACUGUUUGUCUGGUGUGGUGCGGCUGCACGGGUGUUGCGGUCCCCUGUCCGCGCUUCUCCUCCUCCUUUUACGCCUACACGAAUUUGUCCCAUCCCCCGCCGUCGACCUGCCUGCCCUCUCUGUUGGUCUUUCGGUCGAGCUGCUUUGGGUGCAGGAACGUGUCCGUGCAUGUCGCCGUAACGUAAGGCAAUGCCCCACACAUCUAAAGACGGCGAGCUCAACGUGCACGAGGAGCAACGCAGCCGCAGAAGCGAAGAGGAUAUGGCCCGGGGUGAGUCGGUGGCUAGCAAGUAACGCGCGCCAUGUCUAUCCCCUCUUACUCCAUCUCGACGCUUCGCAGCCGCUGCCAUCCGGCCUUCCUUGCGUGCGCGUAGCUGGCUGACCAUCAAUCUC
RNAcentral lists this unclassified non-coding RNA (1561 nucleotides) under Leishmania donovani. Its description in RNAcentral is "gene:LdHU3.17.0440(CDS-product:Tetratricopeptide_ repeat_putative)". Lineage: Eukaryota; Euglenozoa; Kinetoplastea; Trypanosomatida; Trypanosomatidae. The record is from RNAcentral.